AGGACGAACGCUGGCGGCGUGCUUAACACAUGCAAGUCGAGCGAUGAAGCUCCUUCGGGAGUGGAUUAGCGGCGGACGGGUGAGUAACACGUGGGCAACCUGCCUUGUAGAGAGGAAUAGCCAUUCGAAAGGAUGAUUAAUACCUCAUAAUAUUGUAGCUUCGCAUGAAGCAACAACCAAAGGAGCAAUCCACUACAAGAUGGGCCCGCGGCGCAUUAGCUAGUUGGUGGGGUAACGGCUCACCAAGGCGACGAUGCGUAGCCGACCUGAGAGGGUGAUCGGCCACAUUGGGACUGAGACACGGCCCAGACUCCUACGGGAGGCAGCAGUGGGGAAUAUUGCACAAUGGGGGAAACCCUGAUGCCAGCAACGCCGCGUGAGUGAUGACGGUCUUCGGAUUGUAAAGCUCUGUCUUCAGGGACGAUAAUGACGGUACCUGAGGAGGAAGCCACGGCUAACUACGUGCCAGCCGCCGC
RNAcentral lists this ribosomal RNA (476 nucleotides) under uncultured bacterium. RNAcentral describes it as "bacterial SSU rRNA". It matches the Rfam family "Bacterial small subunit ribosomal RNA", at positions 26 to 518 of the family's 1533-position model. The record is from RNAcentral.